GCCAGCAGAAGCAACAGUCUGUUAUGAUACAAACACAACUGAAUACAUUGGAAAGGAUAUGAUGCUAUACUCAAAAAGCUGUCAUAUGGGGCUUGUGGAAGUGGCUUAAACACCACGGAUGCAAUCCAGGACCAUUAACACUGAAAGAAGAUAUGCUGUUAAUUUCAGUACAAGGAAACCUUGACAGGUGUCAUCAACCCACUACCACCACCACACAGUUGGUAGCAUCCAUAUGAUUCAGCAACAUCAAAUUUGCACUGAUUUGGAAUACUGUCAAGUAAUACCAGAACAACGAAGUGAAACUACUGUGGUUCAGAAGAUGAGUGCACUUUUUUUUCUGUAAGAAGUCCCAGGUUCAUCUCUGGAAUCAGUACGAUGGGAAAGAAACUGCUCUGCUUGAGAUUUUGGAAAACUGCUUGCUGUCAGAAUGGUCAGUUGUGAGCUACAGGGACCUACGAUCUGACUAAUAGUCAAAAAGGCCAUGGGAUAAAAUAAGCAUUUCAGGAAAACAAAAUUAGUAUUGUUGCAGCUGCAAUGGAGACCCUUUUGCUUUAU
This is a long non-coding RNA of Sphaerodactylus townsendi, 555 nucleotides long. RefSeq lists it as uncharacterized. The transcript is spliced from 4 exons. The record is from RefSeq and is a predicted model, not a curated record. Lineage: Eukaryota; Metazoa; Chordata; Lepidosauria; Squamata; Sphaerodactylidae.